RNAcentral lists this transfer RNA (69 nucleotides) under Ictidomys tridecemlineatus (thirteen-lined ground squirrel). RNAcentral's name for it is "Spermophilus tridecemlineatus (thirteen-lined ground squirrel) tRNA". It matches the Rfam family "tRNA". From Rfam's summary of the family: Transfer RNA (tRNA) molecules are approximately 80 nucleotides in length. Their secondary structure includes four short double-helical elements and three loops (D, anti-codon, and T loops). Lineage: Eukaryota; Metazoa; Chordata; Mammalia; Rodentia; Sciuridae. The record is from Rfam by way of RNAcentral.
GGGGUUAUGGCUCAGUGGUUGAGCACUUACCUCGAAUGUGUGAGGCACUGAGUUCAAUCCUCAGCACCA